This 650-nucleotide long non-coding RNA is filed under the name Anser brachyrhynchus (Pink-footed goose). RNAcentral describes it as "lncRNA (ENSABRG00000002621.1)". Lineage: Eukaryota; Metazoa; Chordata; Aves; Anseriformes; Anatidae. The record is from RNAcentral.
AGUAUAGAUUGAUCUUUGUUCAAUUUGCCAUUUCCUUUGUCCAUGUAGGUUCCUUGUGAAAUUCCACAUUGCUCCAGAUUUCAGGGACAGCUCUUGCUUCAUGUACCCAGGACCUGUUUCAAAUUCAGCUAAUGGAGCUGCAUCACACAGGUUGGGUGGCAUUUUCAUGGCCAGGCCCUGGAAUACGGACAACCCUCCUCUCUCUCCCCACACCACCAUGAUGCUGGCCUAAAACUGGAUUAUAUCUGCCUCGGCCUCUUCCGCAAACACUGGAUUCACUGGAGUGUGUUACAGACAAUACGGCUCUCAAACAAUGAAGCAUUUGUGUUCAUUUUCUUCUAUUUUAUCUUUGGAAUUCUACUAUUUAGGUCACUAUCUGUUGCUUCCAGCUACUCUUCCCUGACAAAUUGUAGCUCUUUUUAGGCUUAAAAAGAUAUAAUCAAUGAAUUCAUCUCUGUUAUUCCUCUGGGUAUAAAGGUCUAGGUGUAAUAAGUGGUACACAUAUUCCAAGAUUACGUUGCUGUUCCUGAACUGCAGCCCCAAGAUUAAUUGUGCGUUAUAGGCCAAAAUUUGAAGAGCUGCUGGAUGCUGACCUCUUCAAAAAUCUGAGAUAAAUAACACAAUAAAGAACACUGUUACCAAAUUUCUCA